Molecule: long non-coding RNA, 1890 nt
Filed under: Homo sapiens (human)
Lineage: Eukaryota; Metazoa; Chordata; Mammalia; Primates; Hominidae
Description: HSALNT0068896
Source: RNAcentral
GGGAAGGUCUAUAAAUGGCCGCUCUGGGAAUGUCUGUCUUAUGCGGUUGAGAUAAGGACUGAGAUACGCCCUGGUCUCCUGCAGUACCCAAAGGCUUACUAGGGUGGAGAAAAACUCCGCCCUGAUAUAUCUGUGGUCAGACUGCUUCUCUGCUCUUGAACCCUGUUUUCUGUUGUUUAAGAUGUUUAUCAAGACAAUACAUGCGUGAAUGAACAUAGACCCUUAUCAGUGGUUCUGCUUUUGCCCUUUGCUUUGUGAUCUUUGCUGGACACUUAUCAGUAGUUCUGCUUUUGCCCUUUGUCCUGUUCCCUCAGAAGCAUGUGAUCUUUGUUAGACCCUUAGUAGUAGUUCUGCUUUUUACCCUUUGAAGCAUGUGACCUUUGUACCUACUCCCUGUUCUUACACCCCCUCCCCUUUUGAAGCCCUUAAUAAAAACUUGCUCAUCUGAGACUCAGAGGGCAUCACAGUCCUACUAAUGUGUAAUGUGUAAUGUCACCCCCAGCAGCCCAGCUGUAAAAUUCUUCUCUUUGUAGUGUCUCUAUUUCUCAGCUGGCUGACACUUAUGGAAAAUAGAAAGAACCUACAUUGAAAUAUUGGGUGCAGGUUCCACCUAUACUUCUUUCAUGGAUUUACUUAUUUUUUGUUUGUCCCCCUCUGUAUCCUAGAAACUCCUAGAGGGCAGAGGCAUGCCUGCCAUCUUCAUCAUUGCAUUACCAUCACCCAACACUAUCAGGGGACCUGCCCUGAUAAUCAGUCUACAGUUGUAUCCAGCAGCUCCAGAGAGACAGCGACCAGCAAGAAGGGGCCAUGAUGAUGGUGGUGGUUUUUUCAAAACGAAAAGGGGGAUAUGUAGGGAAAAGAAAGAGAGAUCAGACUCUUACAGACUCUUACUGUGUCUACAUAGAAAGGGAAGACAUAAGAGACUCCAUUUGGAAAAAGACCUGUACUUUAAACAAUUGCUUUGCUGAGAUGUUGUUAAUCUGUAGCUUUGCCCCAGCCACUUUGCCCCAACCACUUUGACCCAGUCUGGAGCUCACAAAAACAUGUGUUGUAUGAAAUCAAGGUUUAAGGCAUGUAGGGCUGUGCAGGAUGUGCCUUGUUAACCAAAUGUUUGCAAGCAGUAUACUUGGUAAAAGUCAUCACCAUUCUCUUGUCUCAAUAAACCAGGGGCACAAUGCACUGUGGAAAGCCGCAGGGACCUCUGCCCUUGAAAGCUGGGUAUUAUUCAAAGUUUCCCCCCAUGUGAUAGUCUGAAAUAUGGCCUCGUGGGAUGAGAAAGGCCUGACGGUCCCCUAGCCCGACACCCAUAAAAGGUCUGUGCUGAGGUGGAUUAGUCAAAGAGGAAAGACUCUUGCAUUUGAGAUAGAGGAAGGCCACUGUCUCCUGCCUGCCCCUGGGAACUGAAUGUCUCGGUAUAAAACACGAUUGUACAUUUGUUCAAUUCUGAGAUGGGAGAAAAACCGCCCUAUGGUGGGAGGUGAGACAUGUUUACAGCAAUACUGCCUUGAUAUUCUUUACUCCACUGAGAUGUUUGGGUGGAGAGAAACAUAAAUCUGGCUUACAUGCACGUUCAGUCAUAGUACCUUCCCUUGAACUUCAUUAUGACAUAGAUUCUAUUGCUCACAUGUUUGUUGCUGACCUUCUUAUUAUCACCCUGCCCUCCUACUACAUUCCUUUUUGCUGAAAUAAUAAAGAUAGUAUUCAAUAAAAACUGAGGGAACUCAGAGACCGGUGCCAGUGCAGGUCCUUGGUAUGCUAAGCGCCGGUACCCUGGGCCCACUGUUGUUUCUCUAUACUUUGUUUCUGUGUCUGAUUUCUUUUCUGUCUCUCAUCCCACCCAACAAGAAAUACCCACAGGUGUGGAGGGGCAGGCCACCCCUUCAGUAUGAG